This 1187-nucleotide unclassified non-coding RNA is filed under the name Bombus terrestris (buff-tailed bumblebee). RNAcentral describes it as "misc RNA ENSBTSG00005035375.1". Lineage: Eukaryota; Metazoa; Arthropoda; Insecta; Hymenoptera; Apidae. The record is from RNAcentral.
CUAUAAAUUGCAAUUAAUAUGUAAAUUGAUACAAGAUUGGAAAAUUAGUAACAAGUGCUACUAUCAUACAAGUACUACGUAUCAUAUUAUACAUUACAUAUAUUGCACAUUAUAUAUUUAUUUCCUUUAAAACUAAAAAUAUCAAACGCUCCAAAAUUAUAUGUUUAAUACAUUUUGCAUGGCAGAGCAACAUCGUAAAAUGCUUAUUACAAACGUUGUAUUAAAAUGUCGAGACCGUAACACGAGGAGAGAAUUCAGUGUCGCGAUAAUAACGUUAAAUAAUUGAGUUUGCGACACGGAAAGGGGUUAACUUUUAUUAUCACGCUUGUGGCGCGUAACGACUCGACUUUCAGAGAAAAUAAUUAGUCGAAACGGAGGCUAAUUGAGCGUGGUUGGCGUAAUUCGACGGUGAUUUUCGUGGAAAUGAAUAUGUAACGUAAGCUAGGCUGGUCAACGGCUUUGCGUAUUGUUCGUUAUACUGUGUAAUUAUGUGCAAAUUUAUGACUCACCGUGGACCUUGGCUUUAGGAUAACGGAUUUACCGUGCGUACCAGUAGCGCUCUGCGAAAAGAGAAGAAAAAAAGAAAAGAAUAAGCACCUCGUAUACAUGUAAAAAAUGUAAAACAGUUGGCGAGGUAACUGUAACGUGUGUAAUUGCUGUUCGAAAGAGUUAUGGUGUUAUAGUGCUGUAGUUGGAUAAUUGUUCGAAAUGUAACAUUUAAUAUGAUGAAAUAUGUAUUUGCAACAGUGGUUCGAAAUACGUAAUUCUGAAUAAUUCAACGAGCUAAGAAAUAUGUAACUUGUUACUGUUAUGUAGCACGUUUAAUAGAAAAGAACCUUCUUGGGAAAAGUUCUUUCCAAUUAAACAGAUUAUGUGUCUAACAGUUUUCUUUCUUUCAAUAUUAUGAUAAAUUUUAUGAAGUAUUCAAUGAAGAAUCUAAUAAAAAAGAUAAAAUAAAUUGCAUUGCGAAAUAUUGUAUUUCGCUACAAGAUGAUUCACAGGGGACGAUAUUACGUAGUCUAAUUUGUUUAAAUUAAUUCGAAUAUUUUAUUGAAUCGGUUUAAAUAUUUUUUUCUAACGUGUUUGAUUAAAAAAUUAUGACAUCUUUAAAUUAGCGAAAUCAGUUUAAAAUAUAUUUUCAAGAAUACCAUCUUAAGUAUCAUUUUUGCAAACAAAUUAAAGCACAU